CUCCUCCGCUCUUAAUGCUCAGCCUAUGAUGUGACGUAGGGCAGGCUAGUUUAAAAGCAAUACAGCUGAUUUGUGGCAAGCCUUCUGGCACUGGACCUGGCAGUACUAUUCAUCCCCAAUUAUGAACUGAACUUGGGCACACUGUAUCAUUAAAGAUGCAUUACUCUAGGACUGAGUGGGGCACCUGAAAAAAUUAAAACUUUGGAAACAAGUGA
This is a long non-coding RNA of Xenopus tropicalis (tropical clawed frog), 215 nucleotides long. RefSeq lists it as uncharacterized. The transcript has 2 exons. NCBI's taxonomy places the organism in Eukaryota, Metazoa, Chordata, Amphibia, Anura, Pipidae. The record is from RefSeq and is a predicted model, not a curated record.